Molecule: long non-coding RNA, 6520 nt
Filed under: Homo sapiens (human)
Lineage: Eukaryota; Metazoa; Chordata; Mammalia; Primates; Hominidae
Description: HSALNT0343827
Source: RNAcentral
UCCAAGCCAGCCUUUCCUUCAGCUAGUCUGGGGGACAGACGCCUCCUCUUCUGGGCCAGUGAUGUGGUCAGGCUGCUCCCUCUGGGAGAUCUGCUGCCAGAGCAGAGGAAUCCUACCCCAUGAGCUGGGGAGGAAAUGAGGCUAGUCUUCUUUUAAGAGUGUGGUGAAUCACCCCCAGCCUCCCUGGGAACCAGCUAUACUCUGCACUUGUUAUCUUCUUUGCAUUCCUGCUGACAUCCUGAAUGAGACGAACAAGGUCCUGGGUCCCUACAUGUCAUACUGGCUAGAGACUGGGAAACAGAUUAACUGAGAGAAGCCAUCAAGCCUGAAGAGACAUCGUGUUUGAAAUGUGUAAGGCACAGUGUACCCGCCGUGGAUCAAAACAACCUGAAGGACAGACAGACAGACACACCGAGGAUCAGCAGAUAUCAGUGGGGACAGGUGCUGAUGAUGGUGCAAAUGAGAGUCAUGAAGGAAAGUUAAAUGAUGACCAAAGACCAAGUACCUUCCCCACAAUGCUUUGACAAGCGCUUUUAUAAGCACCCUGGAAUUUAGACACUACCCGGGGAGAAAAGGAAAGGGAGACAAGCAUGAAUUGUCUGAGAAACCCCUGAAUUAAUCAUGUGUACCCCAAUGCAACAAGGAUCUAGAUAUAGAAUAAUUUUAAUUAUAGAAAACAAAAUUAUAUUUUACCCACCCAUAUUUGAUGCCCAUGAAUUUCACAUCUACCUUACGUGCACAUAAAAUUCAAGCUUAGAUAGACGGAAAACAAAAAAUCAAGAAGCAAUAUUUGCCUUCUAAUAACUUAUCUAUUGGAGGAGGUAAAAGAUAGAAAAGUAGUUCAGAUGACAAAUACUAAAAGAGUUAGGAACUUCUGCUUCCACUUACGAUGAAGGAACUUGUACUCAAUCCAUCCACUUUGUAAUUCUCCUUGAGCUGCUGUAAUAAAGUACCACAAACUGGGUGACUUAAAACAACAGAAUUUAUUGUCUCAUGGUUCUGGAGCCUAGAAGUCUAAAAUCAAGGUAUCAACAGAGCUAUGCUUCCUCUGAAACCUGGAAGGAAAUUCUUCCUUGCCUAUUCCUAGCUUCUGUUGAUUUGCUGGCAAAUUUUGACAUUCCUUAACUUGCAGCUACAUAACUUUAAACUCUGCCUUUGGCAUUACAUGGCAUUUUCCCUGUGUGUUUCUGUCUUCCCACGGCUGUCUUCUUACAAGUACAUCAGUCAUAUUAGGAGUCCACAGUGCUCCAGUAUGACCUCAUCUUAACUAGUCACACUUGCAAUGACCCUAUUUUCAAACAGAGUCACAUUCUGAGGUACUGAGGGUUGGGAUGUCAACAUAUCUUUUUCUGGGGGGAUGGUGGGUAUAAUUCAAUCCAUUAUACCCUCCAAUAAUAAACACCUAGAAAACUGGGCAAUAUACGUGAGAUAAUUGUUUUCUAAUAUUGGACAAGAGAUGGCACAAAACUGUGAUCCAUAAGUGAAAGGAGACAAAUGAGGUGCGUGCUGUGAUCAUUUCCGUUUUCUACCCAGAAUUUCCUGGGUUACUGUACAAACAAGAGGGACCCAAGCAGAGCAUGGCACCCUGAAAUUCUUACUGAGCUGAGGACACAGCUCAGAGAAGAGGAGGCCAUGCACGGAAAGAGCCCCGCAAUUUUCAUGAGGUCUCAUUGAGUCUUUGGGUAAAUACUAAGCUGGCAUCCAUUGGGUGAAACUCCACAGGGGCAGGCAAAGAAUAAGUACUGGAGAAUUAACAACUGCUGGUGAACUACAGUAUGAAUAAUUACUAGAUCUUGGUCGAGGCUGAGAGAGAUACAGCUCUGAGCCAUCAGAAUAGCUUUGUUGAAUACCUGGAACAUUGAACAGGUAUCCCAGGAAGCCCAUAACUUAGAGUAGGACUCAAAUGGCAUAGAAUAAGUCUACCGUCCAUUAACCCUAACAAAGCUUAAAAGAGCCCUUGAAAGGAAAAGCAGACAAGUUGACCUGCAAGCAAGUCAACUGCCCACUAGAAUAAAGCUCAACACUCUUUGAGAGAAGAAAACAAAAUUCAGAUAAUAAAAAAGUAACAUUCAUAAUGUUGAGCAUCCAGUCAGAAAUUAUGGGAUAUACUUAAAAGCUGGAAAAUGUGUCUAUGCUAAGUAGUAAUAUUAGGCAAUUGAAAUCAACCCAGAAAUGGCAGAGAUGGUAAAUUAAAAUAAUGGGACUUAUAAAUGGCUAAUAUACUAAAAUGGCUAUUAUUAAAUAUGUUCAAGGAUUUAUAGUGAAACACAACAUAAUGAAGAAUGAAACAGAAACUAUAAAAAAGCUAAAUAGAACUUCUAGAUCUGAAAAAUAUCUGAAAUGAAAAUUUUGCUAGAUAAGCUUAAGUUGGAGUAGACACUAUAGGAGAAAUGUCUAUGAACAGGAAAUCAGGACAACAGAAACUGUCAAAACAAGAGAGAGGAAAAUAAAGCUAAACAACUACAAAAACUGGAAGAGGUCUCAGGGAACUCCCAAACAAUAUCAAGCCACCUAGCACACAUAUCAUUGGAGUCUUCAACAUAGAGGAGAGAAAGUGGUGGCAGAAAACAAUUAUUUUUAAAAUAGUGGCCAAAAUGUUUCAUACAUGAUAAAUAAUAUCCACCUACAGAUCCAGGAAGCUUAGCAAAACCCAAGCAGGAUAAGCUCAAAAAAGUUUGUUUAUGAAAGAGAUUACUUUCAGGUAUGAGGCUCAGUUUAACUUUCACAUAAGAGACAGACUCUGAGAUGGUCCUUGAGAAGUCAUAGGGUUUUAGACUGAUAAAAAUGACAUUAAAAGGCAAGAAAGGAUGAAUGGUACAGAAAUGACCAAAGGUACAGAGGCUGAAAGUACAGGACAUCGGUGAAGAACAGUAAGAAGAUGAACCUAAAGGGAGAGGAAGAGAAUACAUGAAGAUAGGUUACAGUAGAAUUUCCUAAAGCUUAACACAUCUGUGUCUGAGGGAAUUCUAUGAUGGGGUAACAGAGGCUGAAUUUACCCUCAAACCUGAAACAAUUAAAAUGCAUGAAAUAUAUGAAACUCUGGACAACAGAUGGCUCAAGACCGUGAUCCCUGAAAGAAGUGAAAUGAAUAAAGUGAACCCUGUGAUGGCCUCAGUUUAUAGCCUGGAGAUCUUUUUCAGGCAGUAUUAUAGGGAGGAGAAGCCCAAACAGCGCCUGGCAGUCUCUCUGAGUUAAGGAGACUUGCAUUCAGGGUUUGAGGAGGCCAAAAUGGCUAAAAUUCCAGGGAAGAGACCCAGGGAGGAGAAAGCGGUGGGUGGGAAGUGCUCUGGAAUGUGCAUUGGACUCCCAGUGACUCUUCAACUGCUCUGACCAGUGAGUACAAGAAAACAACCUGAGGCUAGGGAGAGACCACUCGAUGGAUCAAGCAGAACCAUCUCAAAGUCCACACGGGGCCGGGAAAAGAUGGUGCUUCCAUCAACCAGAGUGGGAGACCUCCUAACACAGAGGGCAUUGAGGAGAAUUCUCAGAAGCGGAUCACCCCAGUCGCGGGAAGCAAAUUUGCUGUACACUAAAGGCUGUCCUAGAUACAACUUACAAAGCUCCAAAACAAGACUCAGAAAUAUCAAAUUGUUUCUAUGUAAUCUAUCUGCAUCACAAAAUAAAGUCCCAAAUUUAUUUAAGGGAUACAAAUACUCCAGUAGCUAGAAACGUAAAAUUCAAAUAUCUGAUAUCCAAUUUUAAAAAGUCAUAUAUGCAAAGAAAAAGAAAAAUAUGGGUCAUAAGGAGGAGAAAAACACUCAAUAGAAACAGAUCCAGAAAUGAUAUACAUGAUGGAGUUAGCAGACAAGGCUAUUAAAUAUAUAUUCAAUAUGUUCGGCAGGAUAGAAGAGAGUGUACAUAUGUUAAGAAGAGACGUGGAAGAUUUAAAAAAGACUGAAAUAAAACUUCUUCCGAUGCAAAAUACAAUGAAUGUGAUUUUAUAAUAUACUGGAUGGGAUUAACAGCAGAUUAGGUAUCUCAAGUCAAACUUAAAGAUAAGGUAAUAGAAUUCACCUAGGAUAAAAACAGAAAGAAACUGACUUAAAAAAAGUGAGCAGAGCAUCAGUGAGCUGUAGAACAGCAUUAAGCAGCCUAAUAUUGAGAGUCCUAUAAAACUGGAGGACUAAUGCAGAAAAAAGAAAUUGAAUAACUAAUAGCUGAAGCAGUUUUAAAUUUAAUGAAAAGGAAAAGCCACAGAUUGAAGAAGUUUCAUGAACUCCAAGCACAAGUAACAUGAAGAACACUUUAACAAGAUAUAGUAUCAUUGGAUUGCUUAAAACUAAUAAAGAAAAAUCUUGAAAAGCAGCCAGAGAAUAAAAGACACACUAUGUACAAAUGAACACAGUUAAGAAUGACUGCAGUCAUCUCACUAGAAACAAUUCAGGCAAAAGAGUGUGGAGAAACAUCUUUAAAUUAUUUAAAGUAAAAAAAAUCCUCUUAACCUAGUACUCUAUAUCCAGUGAAAAUAUCUUUCAAAAACAUUGGCACAAUAAACUUCUCAGACAUGAAAAAACUAAAAUAAUUCUUUGCCAGGAGACACACACACUAUAAGAAAUGUUAAAGGAUGUCUUUCAGACAAAAUGAAAAAAAGUCCAGAUGGAAUUGGUAAGCCAGCUCCCUGUGAGGGAUAAAAAGGAAAAAAGGGAAAAGCCUGGAUUUAUAGCAUUUUGACCAAUUUUGUGAAUAUAAAUAUUCCCACCAUGGCCAAAUUCAAGCAAACAACAAUUUCUAACAACUGGUUCACAGAAUUUCUGGAUAUUUAACAACUGGGUCCUAUGAGCUGAUACAAACCAACUACAGACUAUUACAGAUAGAAUAUCAUUAGUAAAUAUGUAAUAAAUAUAAAAAACAGUAUUUGUGCCAUUUAAAAAAUCUCUUUAAAAAUAAUUGACUUUCUAUUUCCAGUGAAAACAAAGUAAGGGACAAAAUACAUAAAGCACCAGUUGUCAAGACAUUAGACAUCAGGCAAGGAAGGACAAGAAAAAAUGAGGUGAGUUUUAUAAUAAAACAAGCUUACCACCUUGAGACAAUUUCCAGGCCAUGGCACAGAGAGGGGAAAUCCAGGGGGAAACCAUCAAACUCCUCGAGUCAAGGAGACACAGCUGAGAGGAGAAUAAGUCAAGUAGAGUUCACAGGGCUGAGGAUAGCAGAGGAGAGAAGCGGGCAAAGAGAGAAUUUGUGAGGUCAUCAGAGAGCCCACCCUCAGUAUUCAGUAGGGUAUUAACAAGAGCAUGAGUGUGAAAAAACCACCUGAGAUUGGGAAAAUAACCACACAAAGGAUUAAAGAAAACAGUAACUGAAUUUCAUGUAGGGCCGGGAAUAGUGUAUAGUUUCACCAGCCAAACUCAAAAACAUUAAAAUUCAUGGGGCAUUGGGACAAGAGCUCAGAAGUGUUUGGGCUCAGAAGUGGAGGAUAAUGAUCUCUAAACUAAAUGCUGCUCUGCUGUCAUCUAACAAAUGAUUAAAGCCAGGUACAAAAGCAUCAGAUUAUUUCAAGAAAUGUAACUGUAUUCUAAAACAGGGCUCAAAAAUAUUUAUAGAAAAAUAAAAAGUCCAACACAAAAUUAAAACUCAAUGUAUGGAAUAAAAUAAAAAAAUUACCAAGCAUACAAAAAUAGCAGAAAAAUGCAACGUAUAAUGAAAGGAAAACUGGCACAGAUGUUAGAAUUAGUAAAAAAAUAAUAAUAAUUUAAUUUAAAAAUAAAAUAGUUAAGCUAGAGAUGUUAAGCAGACAUAGAAGAUAUUUUUAAAAGCUGCAAAGCCAACUUCUGGAGAUGAAAAUGACAAUAUCUGAGAUGAAAAAUACACUGGAUGAGAUUAAUGAUAGAUUAGACAAUGUAGAAGAAAAUACUAGUAACCUAGGAAGAUAUAGCAACAAAGGCAAACCAAAAAUGGAGGAUAGAGGAAAUAAAAUAAUUUUUGAAAGGAAACAGACAAUUAAUUGUUACAGGACAACUUAAAGUGAACUAACAUAACUGGGGUUUUAAAAGAAGAGAAGAAAGAUGGGAAGAAAGAAAAAACUAUUGGAAGAAAUCAUGACUGAAAGUUUCUAAAGUCAAUAAAACUCGAACCUCACAUAUCCAAGAAGCCUGACAAAACUCAAGCAUACAUACACAAAAUACACCAAAGAAUAUCAUAAUCAGAUUUCUGAAAAUUAGUGUUAAAGAGAAAAUCUUAAAAGCAGCCACAGGAUAAAAACAUGUUUUGUACAGUAGAACAAGAUAAAGAUGACAGAAGAUUUCUUGGUGAAAACAAAGCAAGUGAGAACACAGUAAAGCAACAUCUUUAAAAUACUGAAAGAAAAAUACUGUCUUUUUGAUAAUGACCAGCCUAACAAAUGUGAGGUAAUAUUUUAUUGUGGUUUUGAUUUUCAUUUCCCUAAUGAUUAAUGAUGUUGAAUACCUUUUCAUAUCCCUUUUGGCCAUUUGAGUGUCUACUUUAGAAAAAUGUUGAAUAAUCAAAAAAGAUGAUUAGUGAUGUUCAGCACCUUUUCAUAUACCUGAUUAUCUUCUUUGGAAAA